GUGUCAGCAGCCGCGGUAAUACAGAGGGUGCGAGCGUUGUCCGGAAUCACUGGGCGUAAAGGGCGCGUAGGCGGCUUGUCAUGCGUGCGGUGAAAGCCCGGGGCUCAACCCCGGGUCGGCCGUGCGAACGGGCAGGCUUGAGUCUGGUAGAGGCUGAUGGAAUUCCGGGUGUAGCGGUGGAAUGCGUAGAGAUCCGGAAGAACACCGGUGGCGAAGGCGGUCAGCUGGGCCAGAACUGACGCUGAUGCGCGACAGCGUGGGGAGCAAACAGGAUUAGAAACCCUGGUAGUCC
This 292-nucleotide ribosomal RNA is filed under the name uncultured bacterium. RNAcentral describes it as "partial 16S ribosomal RNA". It matches the Rfam family "Bacterial small subunit ribosomal RNA", at positions 505 to 796 of the family's 1533-position model. The record is from RNAcentral.